This 159-nucleotide ribosomal RNA is filed under the name Streptocarpus bolusii. Its description in RNAcentral is "5.8S ribosomal RNA". It matches the Rfam family "5.8S ribosomal RNA". Rfam says of the family: 5.8S ribosomal RNA (5.8S rRNA) is a component of the large subunit of the eukaryotic ribosome. It is transcribed by RNA polymerase I as part of the 45S precursor that also contains 18S and 28S rRNA. The record is from RNAcentral. Lineage: Eukaryota; Viridiplantae; Streptophyta; Magnoliopsida; Lamiales; Gesneriaceae.
AUAACGACUCUCGGCAACGGAUAUCUCGGCUCUCGCAUCGAUGAAGAACGUAGCGAAAUGCGAUACUUGGUGUGAAUUGCAGAAUCCCGUGAACCAUCGAGUCUUUGAACGCAAGUUGCGCCCGAAGCUAUCAGGCUGAGGGCACGUCUGCCUGGGCGU